Molecule: ribosomal RNA, 300 nt
Filed under: uncultured Acidimicrobiales bacterium
Lineage: Bacteria; Bacillati; Actinomycetota; Acidimicrobiia; Acidimicrobiales
Description: bacterial SSU rRNA
Rfam family: Bacterial small subunit ribosomal RNA
Source: RNAcentral
CGCGUGAGCAAUCUACCUUAGUUACUGGGAUAGCCCGAGGAAACUCGGAUUAAUACCGGAUAUUCUUAUUUUUCACAUGAAGUUUUAAGGAAAGGUCAGCCGAACUAAGAUGAGCUCGCGUUCUAUCAGCUAGUUGGUGGGGUAAAAGCCUACCAAGGCUACGACGGAUAGCUGGUCUGAGAGGACGAUCAGCCACACUGGGACUGAGACACGGCCCAGACUCCUACGGGAGGCUGCAGCAGGGAAUAUUGCGCAAUGAGCGAAAGCUUGACGCAGCGACACCGCGUGUGGGAUGACGGU